AACGAACGCUGGCGGCAUGCCUAACACAUGCAAGUCGAACGAGACCUUCGGGUCUAGUGGCGCACGGGUGCGUAACGCGUGGGAACCUGCCCUUAGGUUCGGAAUAACUCCCCGAAAGGGGUGCUAAUACCGGAUAAUGUCUUCGGACCAAAGAUUUAUCGCCUUUGGAUGGGCCCGCGUUGGAUUAGCUAGUUGGUAGGGUAAAAGCCUACCAAGGCGACGAUCCAUAGCUGGUCUGAGAGGAUGAUCAGCCACACUGGGACUGAGACACGGCCCAGACUCCUACGGGAGGCAGAAGUGGGGAAUAUUGGACAAUGGGCGAAAGCCUGAUCCAGCAAUGCAGCGUGAGUGAUGAAGGACUUAGGGUUGGAAAGCUAUUUUAACCGGGAUGAUAAUGACAGUACCGGGAGAAUAAGAUCCGGCUAACUCCGUG
RNAcentral lists this ribosomal RNA (433 nucleotides) under uncultured bacterium. RNAcentral's name for it is "partial 16S ribosomal RNA". It matches the Rfam family "Bacterial small subunit ribosomal RNA", at positions 29 to 507 of the family's 1533-position model. The record is from RNAcentral.